RNAcentral lists this ribosomal RNA (671 nucleotides) under Streptomyces zaomyceticus. RNAcentral describes it as "bacterial SSU rRNA". It matches the Rfam family "Bacterial small subunit ribosomal RNA", at positions 67 to 755 of the family's 1533-position model. Lineage: Bacteria; Bacillati; Actinomycetota; Actinomycetes; Kitasatosporales; Streptomycetaceae. The record is from RNAcentral.
CGAUGAAGCCCUUCGGGGUGGAUUAGUGGCGAACGGGUGAGUAACACGUGGGCAAUCUGCCCUUCACUCUGGGACAAGCCCUGGAAACGGGGUCUAAUACCGGAUAACACCGGCUUCCGCAUGGGAGCUGGUUGAAAGCUCCGGCGGUGAAGGAUGAGCCCGCGGCCUAUCAGCUUGUUGGUGGGGUAAUGGCCUACCAAGGCGACGACGGGUAGCCGGCCUGAGAGGGCGACCGGCCACACUGGGACUGAGACACGGCCCAGACUCCUACGGGAGGCAGCAGUGGGGAAUAUUGCACAAUGGGCGAAAGCCUGAUGCAGCGACGCCGCGUGAGGGAUGACGGCCUUCGGGUUGUAAACCUCUUUCAGCAGGGAAGAAGCGAAAGUGACGGUACCUGCAGAAGAAGCGCCGGCUAACUACGUGCCAGCAGCCGCGGUAAUACGUAGGGCGCAAGCGUUGUCCGGAAUUAUUGGGCGUAAAGAGCUCGUAGGCGGCUUGUCACGUCGGGUGUGAAAGCCCGGGGCUUAACCCCGGGUCUGCAUCCGAUACGGGCAGGCUAGAGUGUGGUAGGGGAGAUCGGAAUUCCUGGUGUAGCGGUGAAAUGCGCAGAUAUCAGGAGGAACACCGGUGGCGAAGGCGGAUCUCUGGGCCAUUACUGACGCUGAGGAGCG